Molecule: ribosomal RNA, 477 nt
Filed under: Veillonella parvula
Lineage: Bacteria; Bacillati; Bacillota; Negativicutes; Veillonellales; Veillonellaceae
Description: bacterial SSU rRNA
Rfam family: Bacterial small subunit ribosomal RNA
Source: RNAcentral
GACGAACGCUGGCGGCGUGCUUAACACAUGCAAGUCGAACGAAGAGCGAUGGAAGCUUGCUUCUAUCAAUCUUAGUGGCGAACGGGUGAGUAACGCGUAAUCAACCUGCCCUUCAGAGGGGGACAACAGUUGGAAACGACUGCUAAUACCGCAUACGAUCUAACCUCGGCAUCGAGGAUAGAUGAAAGGUGGCCUCUACAUGUAAGCUAUCACUGAAGGAGGGGAUUGCGUCUGAUUAGCUAGUUGGAGGGGUAACGGCCCACCAAGGCGAUGAUCAGUAGCCGGUCUGAGAGGAUGGACGGCCACAUUGGGACUGAGACACGGCCCAGACUCCUACGGGAGGCAGCAGUGGGGAAUCUUCCGCAAUGGACGAAAGUCUGACGGAGCAACGCCGCGUGAGUGAUGACGGCCUUCGGGUUGUAAAGCUCUGUUAAUCGGGACGAAAGGCCUUCUUGCGAAUAGUGAGAAGGAUUGACG